GCAGGGAGGCGGAUGGUUUAGCGGCGGGGUCGGUGAGGUGAUGGUGGUUGUACUUCGGAAUUUUUAAAUGUGGGUCAGUACCUGAGAGGAGCUCAGUCAAAGCUUCUCAAUGAAGAAAUGGAUUCAUACUGAAAAGGAUCAGUCCCGAUCUGGGGAGUUGAUUGAAGGAGGUUAGAAUCCUUGCCCAGCUUACAUGAUUAUAACUUCUUCUAGCAAAUUUCCUCAGCCGAAGAACGAUCCUAUUUUCUCCAUUCCAUCCAUGCAUCUCCUAAAUCUCUUCUGUCAGCCUCACCAAAAACAAUGAAGCAGAAAAAUCAAGAAGUAGUGGUGAGAACAGAAUGACCAAUUCAUGCGUCACUGCACAUAUUUUCUUUCUCAUGCAUUCUAUUUUUAAGUGAAAUGGGUCCCAAUCUCAAUCUACUUACUUAAUUCUGAAUAACCUACAUAUCUG
This is a long non-coding RNA of Pristis pectinata (smalltooth sawfish), 451 nucleotides long. RefSeq lists it as uncharacterized. NCBI's taxonomy places the organism in Eukaryota, Metazoa, Chordata, Chondrichthyes, Rhinopristiformes, Pristidae. The transcript has 3 exons. The record is from RefSeq and is a predicted model, not a curated record.